AAAGUUUGACAGACAAUCGCUGGCGGCUUCGGCCGCGAGAGGAAAGUCCGGGCUCCAUAGGGCGAUGAUGCUGGAUAACGUCCAGUCAACGCGAGUUGAAGGCUAGUGCCACAGAAAUGGACCGCCGAUGGCUGCUUUGCUGCAUCGCGCUUCGGCGCGGUGUGCGGAGCUUCACAGGCAAGGAUGGAACCGUGGUGUAAGAGACCACGAGGAGCCAUGGUGACAUGGUUCCUGGUAAACCCCAUCUGGAGCAAGACCUAAUGGAACGCUAGCUCCCUUGAGGAGCAGCCUCGGCCCGGGGCGCGUUCGGGUUGGUCGCUGGAGCCGGUCAGCAAUGGCCGGCCUAGAUAGAUGAUUGUCGCUUCCAUGGUGGCAGGGUGGCCCCCGUUAUGACCACUGGCAGCACAGAACCCGGCUUACGGCAAGCUUUCUUU
Molecule: RNase P RNA, 434 nt
Filed under: Paenibacillus sp. UNCCL117
Lineage: Bacteria; Bacillati; Bacillota; Bacilli; Caryophanales; Paenibacillaceae
Description: Bacterial RNase P class A
Rfam family: Bacterial RNase P class A
About the family: Ribonuclease P (RNase P) is a ubiquitous endoribonuclease, found in archaea, bacteria and eukarya as well as chloroplasts and mitochondria.
Source: Rfam by way of RNAcentral